AGUAAAAGUCGUAACAAGGUCUCCGUUGGUGAACCAGCGGAGGGAUCAUUACAGAGUUGCAAAACUCCCACAAACCAUCGCGAAUCUUACCCGUACGGUUGCCUCGGCGCUGGCGGUCCGGAAAGGCCUUCGGGCCCUCCCGGAUCCUCGGGUCUCCCGCUCGCGGGAGGCUGCCCGCCGGAGUGCCGAAACUAAACUCUUGAUAUUUUAUGUCUCUCUGAGUAAACUUUUAAAUAAGUCAAAACUUUCAACAACGGAUCUCUUGGUUCUGGCAUCGAUGAAGAACGCAGCGAAAUGCGAUAAGUAAUGUGAAUUGCAGAAUUCAGUGAAUCAUCGAAUCUUUGAACGCACAUUGCGCUCGCCAGUAUUCUGGCGAGCAUGCCUGUUCGAGCGUCAUUUCAACCAUCAAGCUCUGCUUGCGUUGGGGAUCCGCGGCUGUCCGCGGUCCCUCAAAAUCAGUGGCGGGCUCGCUAGUCACACCGAGCGUAGUAACUCUACAUCGCUAUGGUCGUGCGGCGGGUUCUUGCCGUAAAACCCCCCAUUUCUAAGGUUGACCUCGGAUCAGGUAGGAAUACCCGCUGAACUUAAGCAUAUCAAUAAGCGGAGGAAAAGAAACCAACAGGGAUUGCCCAGUAACG
This 638-nucleotide ribosomal RNA is filed under the name uncultured fungus. RNAcentral's name for it is "eukaryotic LSU rRNA". The stretch from base 243 to 396 matches the Rfam family "5.8S ribosomal RNA". Lineage: Eukaryota; Fungi. The record is from RNAcentral.